Molecule: ribosomal RNA, 459 nt
Filed under: uncultured bacterium
Lineage: Bacteria
Description: partial 16S ribosomal RNA
Rfam family: Bacterial small subunit ribosomal RNA
Source: RNAcentral
CCUACGGGUGGCAGCAGUGAGGAAUAUUGGUCAAUGGGCUUACGCCUGAACCAGCCAAGUCGCGUGAGGGAAGACUGCCCUAUGGGUUGUAAACCUCUUUUGUCAGGGAGCAACGCCGGCUACGUGUAGCCGGACUGAGAGUACCUGAAGAAAAAGCAUCGGCUAACUCCGUGCCAGCAGCCGCGGUAAUACGGAGGAUGCGAGGGUUAUCCGGAUUUAUUGGGUUUAAAGGGUGAGUAGGCGGAAGGCCAAGUCAGCGGUAAAAUCGCGGGGCUCAAACUGGCUCCGCCGUUGAAACUGGCGUUCUUGAGUGGGCGAGAAGUAUGCGGAAUUCGUGGUGUAGCGGUGAAAUGCUUAGAUAUCACGAAGAACUCCGAUUGCGAGGCAGUUCACUGGACUGCAACUGACACUGAGGCUCGAAAGUGUGGGUAUCAAACAGGAUUAGAUACCCGGGUAGUC